GAGAAACACCGACGUCUCCCAACUUCUUUGGGCUGUUCCUUGAAACGCAACGGAUUCUAGACCUCCCCAACUCCCUCUGCAUGGACCCAAAACCCAGGGCCCUUCUGGAGGAUAGAAACAUGGCUGCUGGCUUGAUAGGAAUUUGGCUUUAGAGAGAGAUAGACAGAGAGAGAGCUAGAUAGAGAGAUAGAUAAAUAGAUAGGAGAGAGAGAGAGAGAUGGGCAGAUCUCAAAAAGGCCUCAGGAUGACUUGUUAUUAUUAUUAUUAUUAUUAUUAACCUUUAUUUAUCUUUUUAAUUAGACUUGCCCUGUUUUUCCGGAGUUUUUCCGGGGGCAGGAGGCUUUUUAAAAAAACAGGACCCAAAAAUACAUUUGAAAACAGCUGCAAUGUUUGUUUUUUUUGGUGGCGGGGGAGAGGCAAAAGAUGCGCGUUUGUGUGAGCAUGAUCUUUCCCUCCUCUUCCCUCAACUGAGGGUCAGGAUUUGAACCUGCAGCUGCUUCUGACCUGAGCUGCUUGGGAUGCUUCCUAGUUCUGGCUCUCUUCCAUGCGGUUCGAUUGGCCAAGGCAAGCAGCCAAUCACGGCAGAGCAGAAGACCAGAGGAUGAGACAACACUCAAAGUGAGGAAAAGAUGGCACCCAAAAAAGCUGCACUAUCUUUCCUUUGGAAGAAAGAGCCUGCAAGCAAGGACGCAGUGGCCCGCAAGGGCUCAGUGGCACGCAAGGACUCAACAGCUAUAGGUGCUCCUGGGAAAACCAAGAAGAAGAUAACGCCACGUGAAAUCUGGAGGAGGGUGAAAGCCUUUUUUUCAGUCUCCUACUGCGGCAUAUGCUGGCAUCAUGCUCUCCAUGCUUCUCUUCGUGGCCGCCUUGGGGAUGCUCGCCAUGUAUGCUUUCGAAUUUAGGGAAACAUUGAGACUUCGCCUGGCAGCAAGGAGAGUUUCAAGAUUUAUGACAAACCGUGACAUCAACCUCAAAAAAAAUUCAACCCGAGAAAAACUCAUUGCAGCCCAGAGCUAUGCAGAAGUAUUGUCAAUGUGGACUAAAAGAAUCAAAGAGUUGGAAGACGAAAUCUAUGAAAUUGAAAGCUUAAUUGUGAGAGACUGGGACGUACACGAUAACAGCAUCUAUUAUUUUGAGCACAAGCGUAUGACGUUUCAAGACGCAGUGGCAUUUUGUGCGACCAACAAAUCCUUCGUGGCCAGCGUUGAAAAAGAAACAG
Molecule: long non-coding RNA, 1219 nt
Organism: Sceloporus undulatus (fence lizard)
Lineage: Eukaryota; Metazoa; Chordata; Lepidosauria; Squamata; Phrynosomatidae
Exons: 7
Source: RefSeq, a predicted model, not a curated record